Molecule: long non-coding RNA, 228 nt
Filed under: Panax ginseng (ginseng)
Lineage: Eukaryota; Viridiplantae; Streptophyta; Magnoliopsida; Apiales; Araliaceae
Description: long non-coding RNA (PGIN_LNC009854)
Source: RNAcentral
AAAUGGUUGCCUAUGUACUCCUAUUGAAGAGGAGAUCAGGUCGACGUAGUUCGCCCCUUAGGGCGAGUGGAAAAGCAUAAUCCCAUAUGCAGGUCAGAGUGCGGGGAGGAGAAAGUUUAAUCCUAGGUUGAGGAUAAACUGCAGGUAUGAGAAGUUUGAUCCCAGGUAUGGGUAGCCAAACUGCAAACGCGAAAAGUUCAAUCUGUAGUGGGAUGAUCGUAGUCGUAG